Molecule: long non-coding RNA, 418 nt
Filed under: Ananas comosus (pineapple)
Lineage: Eukaryota; Viridiplantae; Streptophyta; Magnoliopsida; Poales; Bromeliaceae
Description: long non-coding RNA (ACOM_LNC009671)
Source: RNAcentral
AAAGCUUGAAUCCGAACCUAAAACCCGAACUCGAAUCGGAAUCCAACGGGUUUUAAAAACUCAUAUCCAAACACGAACCCGAAAAAAUCCAAAACUUGAACCCAAACACGAAAACUAAAACCGGAAAUAAUUAUUUCUCUUCACCAUAUUUCAAAACAUAUUAUAUUAAACUAUAAAUUUUUAAAAUAUAAGUGCAAAUAUAACAUCAAACAUUCAUAUAUAUUAUAUAAUAUAAAAUCAAUUCGGGUUCGGAUCAGGAUCGGGCAGGGACAAAAUCUAUACCCAAAUCCAAAUUCGUCAGAUUUUCGUUUUUUAUAUCCAUAUCCGGCUCUGCAAACCUUAUCUGUUUCACAUCGGGCAAAUCCGUCCAAUUCAAAUUCAGAUUCGGAUAAAAUUUUGGGUAUCUGUAUCCAUUGAC